CCCUUAGAUGUCCUGGGCCGCACGCGCGUUACACUGAUGCAUUCAACGAGCUUAUAACCUUGGCCGAGAGGCCUGGGCAAUCUUGUUAACGUGCAUCGUGAUAGGGAUAGAUUAUUGAAAUUAUUAAUCUUGAACGAGGAAUUCCUAGUAAACGCAGAUCAUCAAUCUGCAUUGAUUACGUCCCUGCCCUUUGUACACACCGCCCGUCGCACCUACCGAUUGGAUGUUCCGGUGAAGCCUCGGGAUUGUGGUUCUUGCCGCUUUAUUGUGGCGUGACCGCGAGAACUUGUCUAAACCUUAUCAUCUAGAGGAAGGUGAAGUCGUAACA
RNAcentral lists this ribosomal RNA (328 nucleotides) under uncultured eukaryote. RNAcentral's name for it is "partial 18S ribosomal RNA". It matches the Rfam family "Eukaryotic small subunit ribosomal RNA", at positions 1470 to 1796 of the family's 1831-position model. The record is from RNAcentral.